Molecule: small nucleolar RNA, 137 nt
Organism: Lineus longissimus
Lineage: Eukaryota; Metazoa; Nemertea; Pilidiophora; Heteronemertea; Lineidae
Product: U8 small nucleolar RNA
Exons: 1
Source: RefSeq, a predicted model, not a curated record
CACUCAGUAGGUAACUUCUUACCUGCAACCCUCUUUUGAGGGCUGUGAGACAUGAUGACCCUGGGGUAUGAUCUUCCGUGAAUUACACCCCACAGGGGCUCAGGGACCAACGACACCCUGGGUCACCUAGGUCUGAU